AGAACGAACGCUGGCGGCAGGCCUCAAACAUGCAAGUCUAGGGGAUGUAGCAAUACAUCACCGGCGGACGGGUGCGUAACACGUGGGAAUAUACCUUUCGGUACGGAACAACUGCGGGAAACUGCAGCUAAUACCGUAUACGUCCUUACGGAGAAAGAUUUAUCGCCGAAGGAUUAGCCCGCGUUCGAUUAGCUAGUUGGUGAGGUAAUGGCUCACCAAGGCGACGAUCGAUAGCUGUUCUGAGAGGAAGAUCAGCCACACUGGGACUGAGACACGGCCCAGACUCCUACGGGAGGCAGCAGUUGGGAAUCUUGGACAAUGGGGGAAACCCUGAUCCAGCCAUGCCGCGUGAGUGAUGAAGGCCUUCGGGUUGUAAAGCUCUUUUACCCGGGAGAUAUGACUGUACCGGGAGAAUAAGCUCCGGCUAACUUCGCGCCAGCAGCCGC
This 446-nucleotide ribosomal RNA is filed under the name uncultured bacterium. Its description in RNAcentral is "SSU rRNA". It matches the Rfam family "Bacterial small subunit ribosomal RNA", at positions 26 to 518 of the family's 1533-position model. The record is from RNAcentral.